Molecule: ribosomal RNA, 433 nt
Filed under: uncultured bacterium
Lineage: Bacteria
Description: partial 16S ribosomal RNA
Rfam family: Bacterial small subunit ribosomal RNA
Source: RNAcentral
AACGAACGCUGGCGGCAUGCCUAACACAUGCAAGUCGAACGAGACCUUCGGGUCUAGUGGCGCACGGGUGCGUAACGCGUGGGAACCUGCCCUUAGGUUCGGAAUAACUCCCCGAAAGGGGUGCUAAUACCGGAUAAUGUCUUCGGACCAAAGAUUUAUCGCCUUUGGAUGGGCCCGCGUUGGAUUAGCUAGUUGGUAGGGUAAAAGCCUACCAAGGCGACGAUCCAUAGCUGGUCUGAGAGGAUGGUCAGCCACACUGGGACUGAGACACGGCCCAGACUCCUACGGGAGGCAGCAGUGGGGAAUAUUGGACAGUGGGCGAAAGCCUGAUCCAGCAAUGCCGCGUGAGUGAUGAAGGCCUUAGGGUUGUAAAGCUCUUUUACCCGGGAUGAUAAUGACAGUACCGGGAGAAUAAGCUCCGGCUAACUCCGUG